CACGUCCGGUUCCUUUUUCCAUCGCCACCUCCUAAUAGAUCGUGGGACGAUUCGGUUUCCGACUCGGCCUCCCGCCGGCGACCCGCCCGUGCCGCACCGGCCAGCUGCAGACGUCCGAGCCGGGCUUCUGGUCUCCCCUCGCGCCGCCCCGGCGAGCUACAGCCUGAGGUACACCCCCCCCACCCAGCGCCUGCUCCCCCGGCGAGGCGACCCUCCCGUGCCGCACCGGCCAGCUGCAGACGUCCGAGCCGGGCUCCUGGUCUCCCCCUCGCGCCGCCCGGCGAGGCCCUGCGCCGCCGGCUCCCGUGCUGCCCCGGCUGCCUACCCCCACGCCAGAUCCCGCUCGCCUCUCCUACCAAUUUUUCUCCACUCCCUCGAGCUCAUUUCCGGUCAGCAGGUUUUCCUCUUCCAAAUCCAAUCUCGCCUGGAUUGGAGACGCAUUCGCGGCGUCGAAGAUCGGGGGCGCUAGGUUCCUAUCAUUUUCCUUUUGUGGUGGAUUUGAUCGGAUAGAUGAGAUGUGAUUCUGCCCUGCAGCGCAAGGCGAGCUGUAUUUUUUUUCACAUUGAUUUUUUAUUUUGUCUAAUUUCCGGGGAGGAUCUGAUGAUUUGUGAAGGUGGUGCGCAAAGUUGGUUGUAGAUUGUUGCAAUUGCUUUGUAGCAUGCUUUUUUUCCCGUU
Molecule: long non-coding RNA, 675 nt
Organism: Panicum virgatum (switchgrass)
Lineage: Eukaryota; Viridiplantae; Streptophyta; Magnoliopsida; Poales; Poaceae
Exons: 2
Source: RefSeq, a predicted model, not a curated record